CUGGGCCAUGGGACCUACAGACUCCUGGGUGUGGCUUAGGUGCUCAGUGUCUGCUGUCUUCACAG
Molecule: microRNA precursor, 65 nt
Filed under: Mus caroli (Ryukyu mouse)
Lineage: Eukaryota; Metazoa; Chordata; Mammalia; Rodentia; Muridae
Description: microRNA 7089 (MGP_CAROLIEiJ_G0008301.1)
Source: RNAcentral